RNAcentral lists this long non-coding RNA (13050 nucleotides) under Triticum aestivum (bread wheat). RNAcentral's name for it is "long non-coding RNA (TAES_LNC003569)". The record is from RNAcentral. Lineage: Eukaryota; Viridiplantae; Streptophyta; Magnoliopsida; Poales; Poaceae.
UUACCGGAACUAAGAAGCAACACCGGAAAGAAACAAACAACAUGGUAAACAACCAUCACAUAGACAUGGCACGAUGCACAACCAAGUAUGAUGCAUGUCCGGUUUAAAGAGGCAUGGCAUGGCAAAUGCAACCAAACAAUACUACAAGUUAAGUGGAGAUCAAUAUGCAACGAGUUGCAUAUUAACAAAACACCACAUCAAAUAUUUAGUUCUCUCUCGUUUAAGCUACCAAACAAUAUUAAAUGUUAUUAAACAUGGCAAGGGGUGAAGCACGAGAAAAACUACCUAUCUAGACAAGUUUAAAUGAGGCCGGAAUAACAAACAACAAUUCCGGAAAAUCCCCAUAUGCAAAUUUUAGAUUCGGUACUGUUCUGCCCUAAACACAAUUUUAGAGUUGUUAAACAGGAAAAUAAAGUGGACCAUGUUAAUCUAGGCAUUUUUCCACCCCAUUUACAUAUAAAGUUUAUUUAGAAUGGAGCUACGGUUAUUUAGUUAUGAAUAAAGCAAUUUAACAUGGCAUUAUGCAAAAUUAAUGCAAACAGCAAUUUAAACAUUUUAAACAUGGAUGAAAGUGACAUAUUAUUAAUCUACACAAUUUUCUGAGCAUUUUACAUACAUAAAACAUUUUAAUCCGAUGCACGGUUUAAGAGAUAUUAAAUGCAUGAUGCUUAGGGGGUUUUCUGUAAAACUAAAAACUCCUGGAUAAAUUAGACAAAUUCGCAGACGAUAAAAAAAACCACAUCGGGCCGGAUCUAGCUGGCCCAAGAGUGCACAGGGGAAGGGCUGGGGGGACUGCUCACCAAGCUGGGCUAGGCCCAGAUCGGUGGAGGUGGAAGCUGCUCACAUUGGGCUUCAGCCCAGGACGGUGGCGCGGCUGGGCUGGGCCUUGGGGAGGCAAGGCCCACAAGGGCAUCCUUCACAGUCAACGAAGGCCUCGGGCGCUCCUCGUCCUCCCCGACAGGAAGUCGAGCGAGGCCAUGGCGCGGUGCUGGCGAGGACUGAUGGCGGCUCCGGUGAUGGUAGGACGACGAUGGCGAGGCGACAAAGGGCGGCAGAGGGGUGGAUCCAGGCGCGGACGGGCGUCGGGGUCCCGUUUCUGGCCGGAUCGAGGCGGAGGGCAGUGUCCCAUGGACUCCGGCGUGACGUGGGAAGGCAGGGGACCGACGGGGAGGUCCGGGCGAUGGCGCGGGUGAAGUCUGGCGAGGUGGCGAGGGGAGACUGUGGCGGGGGCGCGCUCCUGCGAGGCCCGGUCGCCGGAGUCAGCCGGCAGCAAGGCGGCGGAGCUCUGGAUCGGGAGCUCCUCUCCCGAUCUGGAGCUUGGGGAGCAGGGGCGACGCGGUGCGGGCGCCUUGGGCACCUCGGGCCCAGAUCGGCCCGGGGCGGGCCUGGGACGGGCCUGCGGCGAAGUGGGGAUGCAGGGGAGGCGACGUGGCGGGGCUUGAGUGGCUGCGGGAGGCGGGGAAGGCGACAUGGCGGCGCCCGGUUGGCCGGGGCAACGUCUCAGGUGGCGGCGCAGCCUCUGGGUCGGCGACAAGUGGCGGCGAGGGAGUGGGGCAGCGCGGAUUUUGAGGAGGGGGAGGCUAGAGGUAGGUGGAGGGGGGUUAGGCUGCCCAAAAUGGACAAGGGGUGUUCAUAUAUAGCAAAAUUGCUAGGGUUUGGGGGUUAGGAGGGGUUUCGGGACCCUCGGAUCGCGAUCCGACGAUUCCGGACGGAGGGGAAGGUUAGGUGGGCUGCAAGAGGGAUUAGUGGGCUGUGUAGAGGGGGUUGAGCUGAGAGAAGAGGGGAGAAAUGCAGCCCGGCAACUGUUUCAGAGACCGAAACGUCCGACGAAUAUACCGACUAUAUCGCGGUUAUUUAUUUAACGGUUGGGCAGUCAAACGAACUCCGAAUGCGAUGAAACUUGGCAGACGCUCUGUCUACACUAUAAUAAGACCGCACGACAAGUUUCAACCCAUUCCGAGAACAUUCUUAUGCCACUUAUAAAAUAAUAUUCGGAGGUGCCGCGGGCGCGUGCGAGUGUGUCCGGACUCGGAACGGACAAUGGAGAGAAACGGCGGAACCCGAACGGAUGCAAGUUUUAUGAAAACGAUGCCGAUGCAAUGCGAAUGAUGACAUGAGAUGAGAUGCAUAACAAGAACAAAAUGCAAAACAAACGACAAAAACCCAACCACGAAGGAAAUAUCAUAUAGCAUCUCCAGAAAAGGCAAGAGUCGGAGUUAUGAAUAUGGAAAGUUGUAUCCGGGGCGUUACACACUGCCCCCUACUAUUCCCACCGCCGGCCAGGCCCUGCGGCGACGGCAGCCUCACACCGCAGCCGAACCAGUGAACCCUCGUACUCCUCUCCACGCGGGCUUCCAUUGCCGCGUCUUCCCCGGCUCCGCAUCAUCCCCUUCCUAGGCCUCGUCGUCGUCCACCGCUGUGGUGCUCUCCGUGCGGCGUGGUCAACGUGGUCAAGGAACGACUUCCAUCGGAAGAGUACUGUACGUGGAGAGGCUGACAGCUGGGUCCACGGCCACAGCCCAGUCUUUUUGUGAUUUGCCAAGUAAGUCACUUUGUCAGGCCUGUUGGGCUGCAAAUCUUUCAAGACGAGGAGAGCUUUCAUUCAGCUGGCCGAGAAAAUGGCCCAUCAGUAAUGAGAAAUGGGUUGUACAUUUUUAAAACACAUCAAACCGGCAAUUAGUUUCAAAUAUAUUUUUUUCAUUUCAAAAUUUUAAAUUACAUUAAUUUUUAUGUGUGGAGAAUUUGUUGGAUUUUAUAUUGAUAUACAUUUAUUUUUAAAAUUAGUUUGAAUGUGAGUCAAAAUUUUGGGAUUAAAAACAGUUCGGACCGCACCAAAAUAUGCAAAAUUUCGUAUAAUUUUUUAACCGUGGCCACAAUAUGGGCUGUCAUGCUAACAAAAAGAAUAUGGGCUUAAAAAAAACCUUAAGAAUUAGCAAAUGGGCAGUAAAUUAUUAGAAAUAAUGGCAGAUGGGCCGUAUGCUGUUUUCCACAGAUUUGAGACUUUCCUAAAAAAAGAUUGACGCACAAGCAGUGACGGUUGGAUGUCCAUCCAACGGCCAUCAAUCUGUGCUCUUCCUGCUCCAGCCGCUCAAACAAGCGCCAGCGCGACUGCCUACUCCCUCCUCCCCGCGGCCGGUUGUGCUGCCGCGCAGGCCUCACCGCCCCACCGUACUCCCAUCGCUGGCCUAGCCAUCCCUCUACUCACCCACACCUGCUGUUAUUCUCGAGCGACGGCAGACGAACCAGUAAGCCCUCGUACAGUCGUACUCCCCUCCGCAUGGGAAACAACUGCCGAGUCUUCCCUGCCUCCGUGUCGUACCGUUCCUAGGCCUCACCAUCUUCCACCGUCGUGGUGCUCUCGGCGCGGCGUGGUCAACGACCGACUUCCAUCGGAAGAGUACUAUGUGUGGAGACGCUGACAGCAGGAAAACUUGUCUAACUUAUGUCUGUACUCAGAUAUUGUUGCUUCCGCUGACUCUUUUGUAUUCAAGCUGAUGUAUUCAAGCCCUCGAGGCCCCUGGCUUGUAAUAUAAAGCUUGUAUUAUUUUAAUUUAUGUUUAGAGUUGUGUUGUGAUAUCUUCCCGUGAGUCCUUGAUCUUGAUCGUACACAUUUGCGUGUAUGAUUGAAUCGGGGGCGUCACAAGUUGGUAUCAGAGCCGACUGCCUGUAGGUAGCCCCCUUUCCAACUCCUUGGUCGAAGUUGAGUCUAGUUGUCCAAAACUAUUUUACUAACUUGGCUGUGUGGCUUACGGCCCCAUGUUGUCAAUUGGGUGGUAUUAGGAUCUUUUAUUUCUCAUCUAUACUCUCGGACUCUUAUCUCUCUUCUAAUCGGGUUAAACAAUUUUGCUAACUCUGACAUUAGGUUCUCAUAACCACUUCAUCCCGGAGAGCCACUUCAUUCCAUAUGAUCGCCAGCUGCACCAGAAGAUUCCGAAGAUACCCUACAAUGUUCUCUUUGAGACUUUGUGUCCGUCGCUCUUGCAAUUCCCUGGCACCGAUAUAUCCUUAUGUAUAACUACGUACGCUUGCCAUUCUUCAGUCAUUCCAUGUUGCUCUUGUUAUUACAAGAUGCCCCGAAAUACUCUUCGUUGCCCCGAAAAUCCUUUGAGCUUACUGCCUUGUAGUUCUUUACCACAUGAAUACCCCUACGGAUAAUUCCUCGCACUUAUCGAGUAUUCGCUCAUCCCUAGUUGUUCUUGUGUUUCAAAAAAUUCUUUGAAAUACUAUUCGAUCUUCUGAAAAUCCUUAGUAGCCUAUUGCUCUUGUUCUUCCUUACCUGCUUGCAUUUUGGUUAAUUCCAUAUGUCUAGCAAUAUUCAUUAAAAUCCUUUGCGAUUGUCGUCCUUACCCUGUCAAUUCAACAUGUGUGUGAAUGCACGUAAUCAUCAGUUGAUCCUUUUAGAUGAUCUUUCCGGCUCAGACAUCACUCCGGACAUGAGCUGGUUCUCGGCAAACCAAACCUUAAUUGAUUGUCGAUCUAUAUCUAUUCAACUUACUUGUCUUUUGAUUAGAGCAUCUGCUUCCGAUCCCCGAAUUGGAAAUCAUAAUUCCUUUGCAUUUAAGUAUUGGAAUGAUCAGAUAUUUCCAAAAUCUGAUGCCUCUGCAUUAUUUCUUCUUCUGAUUGAAUAUCGAUACUCACAUCAGCUCCGUUGUGGAUCGUCGGUUCCAUUAUUGGAUUAUCAUCCGAUAGUGUCCUUCAUAUUCAAAGAACCUCAUGAAGUUCUUUCCCAGAUACAUAAUGCCUUUGGUAAUUGUAUCCUCUCCUUUUGUCAACCAUGCUCUGCUUUCGAGCUUGUGUUGUUUACUUCUGAAGUUUGUGGUAUAUGCUCCUAAAAUGCCCCUAUGGGUUGAACCUAUGCCAUCCCUAAUCUGUGUGAACCCGAGAGUUUUCACGAGUCAUACUCUUUUGGCGUUUUGCCAGAUAUAAUUUCAACACUAUGACUUCAUCGAAAACAAGAAGUGAAUGGAAGGUUAUGCAUUGAAGAAGUGGGAGUCAACCUUGAACUUGGUGUUCUUGCCCAUGGACCCGAUGUGGAACUUAUCAUGGAAGCUUCUUGUGAUAAUAAUAAUCCCGUUGUUAUAAGUUCAUCUGGUAACUAUGUUUGGUCCUUUGCAACCGUAGUUCUGGCCAUGACUGUUCCCCUUUGAUUCCAUUUCUCGGACAAGUUAAAGCACUUGUCUUCUGCAGAUCAAUGCAUCUUUGCAACCUCUAUCUUGACCUUCCUUCGAGUAUUACCCUCCGAUAUCUCGAGAAUAACAAAGAACGGUGUUGCUUCCUAUGAGUCUUCAUCUGGUAUUGCUCCUCAGCGAUUUCAGAUUGCCCUGGGUUCCGAGUUAUUAGUCACUCCAGAACACCGAUAAGUGAAUCGAUUCCGCACUCCGAUUCAAUAGCCCUAAGUAAUUUUUGUUGCUUACGAGUUUAAUAAUCCUUCAAGUCAUUCCUAGCCUGAUCGGCUACAUCAUGCCAAAUUUUAACUGUGCUACCUGGUUCUUCUUCCCGGAGCACAUUUUUCGGCGAUGAGCUAAGCCUACGUCGAUCUUCCUCAUCAUAUCAUUUCGCCUUGAACAACAAGCUUGAUUUCAAGUUUGUGUCAAAUCCGUGGUUCUCAUAGCCUUUCACUUCAUCCUUCCUUUUGCUUGAUGUCGUUGCUGCUCGAUGGCAUCUUCAUAGAGUCUCUCAACAAAAUUUGUCGUGAUCACCGUCAACACUUUAGCUUCUUCAGAGAUGUCAAUUGAAUUCAUGGCUAGAAAUACCAUCCCUGCCCCUCGAUGGUUUGUGAUAUCAUCGAUGACAUCCUUGACUUCCUGCUAACACAGACCUGGUCGUGUUUGGUUAUUCCUUACGUUCCAAGAUAAUCUUGGAAGUGUUCCUUUGUAUCUUUUGAGAUCUUCAGAUCCAACUCUUACCCGAAACACCAUGUUAUUGCUACCUCGAAGCAUGACUAUGGUACUCCGAAUAUCAACGCGAACAUUUGAAGCGAAAUGCUAAAUGCUUCUUGAUCUAUUAUCCAAACACCGUUGUAUGGGUAAUAUCAUGAUUCUUCCCUCUCCCCAUUGUCUAAAUGCUUUUGAACUUACUGUCCUAUCAUGUAUAUCUUGCUCUACUUGUUCUUCUGAAAGAUAUACUCCUAAUACUUGUGUUUAAACACAUUUUUCUUUCCAUUGGAGUGUUUAAUCCGAUAAUCACAUUUUUCCUUUCCAUUGCUUUGUAUAAUCUUUCUUGUGAUCUAUAUGAUAUAAGCAGUAAUAUUUCCCUGCUUAUGUAAACACCUCGGUGUACAAACUGUCAGUAAGACCCUGUUACUAUUGUGGACGACAUUCCGGUAACCACCGAUGGACGAGAACUUUGCCUAUUGGUCCGCCUUGUUCAACGAGCAGGAGAAUGGUUCUCUUCGUCCCUCGCCCUUGGUACCAACGUUGUUGCCAACAUAACUGACAGGUAUCCUCUAACAUGCCUUGCUAUCAUGACCGUGCAAGAUGUCAGCACCCUUCCUACUUUUUAAACCACGUGAUGGGCCCAUAACCCACCGUUCCACAGGAUUGAAACCUGACUCUCCUGUAAAUCCCUGUUUUACAAAAUUGUUCCUCGCACUUGGCUUCGUAUGUAAAUCACGAGCCACAUUCCUAGCGAUCUAGUCUGGUAUCAGACGCAAUACCUAUUCCCAUUGCUCUGAACCCCUUUCACCCUAUGUUUUAGGCAACAAACAAUUGCCUACCUGGUUGAAGCUUCUUAUUGCACCUCCUUACCUUGCUCUCAACGUCUUUCUUGAAUUUCGACUCGAGAGGUGCCUCUAUGCCAUGUUCACUGAGAUAGCCCCCAGGUACCUAUCUUGUGUUCAGCUCCGUCCUUCCCGAGUCUUUCCCCCUUACUCCACCCGUUAAAUCUCGGGACGAGAUUUCUUGUAGUGGAGGAGAUUUAUAACACCCGAUAAUCAUGCUACAGUAAACUCCUACUAAUGACUGCCAAGUCAUCACAAUUAUUUUGCUAAUCAUCACUUUGUUCCAAAUCAACUUCAUAUUCAUAUUCAAAUUUGCAUGUCAAAUUGUUUUCUUCAAAAAUAAAACAAAAAUGUUGGUUGGGUUGCAGAUAUUCACUAGCUAAUUAUCAUGUAGAAACCAACUUCAUUUGACUCACAGAUAAAUCCCUAGGAAAUUAAUAAAUGGUCCAACAACAGAUAAAAUGGCCUUUUCAAAAUAAAUAAUUAUUUAAACUUUUCCAAUUGAUCCCAAACCUUGUGUGCACCCUUAAUAUAUGUCCUGAUAUUUAUGUACCAAAUACUUUGUAGAAGAAAAGCCAUUUACUAUUUCUAGGAAAAUGCUAACAGUGAAAGAAAAGCAAAAAGUAAAGCAUAAAAGGAGAACACCCCUGUACAUCUGGCCCAUCUAACUAAACAACCAGGCCCCAGCCCACCUCUCGUUUUCCCCUACCUCCCGCUACAGGGAGCAGAGUAGUGCGUGGCGGCCAUCCACGGCGCCAUGGCCGUGGUGGCGGCCAUCGGCGGCCCCCUCUUCCGCCUAUUUAGCCGACCCCGGGCGCCCCCCUCUCCCCCUGGAACCCUAACCCCUAUCCCCUCGCGCCCCCUCUCCCUCUGCUACUCGCGCCCGAUGGCCCUCGCCGUCAUCGUCGCGGCCACCAUCGUCUCCGGCGUGCGGGAGCACGUCCAGGAGGUCCUCCGCGGCCGGAUCCGUCCGUUCCGGGGGCCAGCUCAAGCCGGGACGGUCCGAGUGCUCGGCAUCGAGCCCUUCUCCGCCGCGUACAUCACCAACUCGUCAUCGUUGCCACUGCUCCGCGCCGCCUCUGACCUUCUAACCUCUUCUACGAGAACCAGGGUGAGCUUCUCCCUCGGGUCCUUCUUUUAGCCCUUCGAUUUGGACGCCGUAGGCCGCCAUCUCCGUCGAGCCCGAACCUCCGCGUACGCGUACGUGCGUGCGCUUGCUGUCGCUGUUGCCGGUGCUGCCUGUUGUCGCUGCUGCUGUCCCGUGCUCGUCCGAGCCCCGCGUACGCCUACGCGUGCGUGCGUGCUAUGCUGCUCCUGUGCCGUUGUGUCUGCUGAUGUUUGCUACGGCCGCGUUGCUUGCUACGCUGCUGCUACUAGUGUUGUUGCCGUUCGUACUGCCCACUGGCUAAAUGAUGCUGCUUUGCUGUUCUACACUGCUGCUGCUCUCUUACGCUGCUGCUCUUGUUGCCGCGCUGGUGCUGUUGCUUGCUACUGCAAGCUGGUGCCACUACUUUGCUCUACUGCUAGCAGCCGCGCCGCUCUGCUUGCUGGUGCCGCUGCGUACUGAUGCUGCCGAUACGUGCUACUGCUUGUUCUUGAAGCUGAUUGCUAGUAGGUGCUGUUGCUUACUUGCCGCUGCUACUAGCCCCUGUACAUGUCCGUGUGCGUGGCCGGCUAGGCUAUGUCCAGUAAUGGCCGGCCCUUGUUUAAUUAGGCUAGGUUUAGCUUAGAAUUACUAGUUUAGUGCUCAUUUAGCCUAUUAGCAUAUGACAAGUGGGUCCCAUCUAAUUAGUUUAGAUAAAUCCUUUUGAAAAUUACUAAAAUAGUGACAUGUGGGCCACCACCUCCCCUUUUGACUAGUCAAGUUGACUUGGUCAAUUCGGAUUAAGUUAAUUAUAAUAAUUUUAAAAUAUUGUUAAAAACUUUAGAAAAUCAUAUAAAAUAAUCUGUAACUCGGAUGAAAAUACUUUGUACAUGAAAGUUGCUCAGAACGAUGAGACGGAACCGAAUACGCAGUCCGUUCGUCCGCCACAUGUCCCUAGCAUAGUGAAACUGUAAUCGUUCCCCCUUCGGUCGGUCUGUCCGAAAACACGAAACACCGGGAAUACUUUCCCGGAUGUUUCCCCCUUCGCCGGUAUCACCUAUCCCUGCGUUAGAUCACCCCUGGCUCCGCAUAUUGCCUUGUUAUAUUUUGUGAUGCUUUGUUUUCUUGUAUUUACUGUUUCUUCCCCCCUCUUCUUCUCCGGUAGACCCCGAGAUCGGCGCUAAUGCCAAUGAGUAUGACUACAGUGUUGACGAUCCCUCCUUGCCAGAGCAACCAGUCAAGCCCCCCCUUUGAUCAUCCCGAUAUCGCCCUUUUUCUUUCUCUCAUGCUUGCAUUAGAUUUUGCUACUGUAAUUGUUUGCUCCUAUUUUGACGCAUAGCCUGCUUUUGUAUCUGCUGUUGUACCUUACCUGCUUACCCUAAACUGCUUAGUAUAGGUUGGUUAGUGAUCCAUCAGUGACCCCCACCUUGUCCUUUUUGCCCCUGCUUCAUCAUUGAAGACCCGAUCAACGGGAUCGAAGACCAGACCCUGGCACCGCACAUCACUUCCCCUUAGUUGAUCAACACUACUGGGUUACUAUCGAGUGCCGAGGGUGAGACCUCUACAACACUUCUGAUGUUAACCCUGUAGUGUAGCUAUUCGGUCGUGGUCAUCGAGGGUGAUUCCGCCUUAACCACUUCCGAUACGACUCUUUCGUGCAACCCCUCAAGUGUGAACCUCGGGGGUGAUUCCUCUUACGUUCACCUUGAUGAUUACAUCGAGUGGAAUUCACCGGGGAUGAUUCCUCGGGGUUUCCCCUUGAUGUUUAGACACACAGUUACUAUGAUUACUAUGAUUUUACACUGAACCAUGUUACUAAAGACGGGUCGACCCUGAGGGGUACCCGCGCGAGCAUAAUUGCGAGUGAUGUGGAGACGGGUUGGCCUGGAGGAUACCCGAGAUUUGAAUACGAGGCGUGGCCGGGCAUUCUUAGCCCUUGCCGCAAGUCCUCGAGACAGGGCGACGGGGUCACAUCUUUCGUGAGUCUCUGCUCGUAACCGCACUACCAACACACUAACGGUUUGGAUAUUUGAUCCGAGGGGCCUCUGGCCUGAUAGCACUAACCAUCACGUGGGCAUAGUAUGGGUGUUCUGCGUCGUAUACAUCAGCCGAAGCUUAAUAGACGUCAGCGACUGAGCAGCGCGCGACGGGUUGGACUAGUAUGCACCUGCCUUUUCAAAGGAGGUAGCUAGGUCUGCUCACCGGCCGCGUAUGCAACAUGCAGGAGUUCCCGGGGAGAUGGUCCAUGACCUCUGGGGGCAUAGGUUUAGUCCGGCGUGCUGACCUCUCUAUUAAGCCUAGGUCGGGUUGCGGCGUAUUGUUUGGCCGAGGCCGAGCAUGACCCAGGACUAGGCCUUCUCUCUAUUCUGGCAUUUCUGCAGCCCAGUCCACAUAUAUAGCCUUCCUUUGAUAAUGUUACAUAUGUAGUGUAGAUCCUUGCUUGCGAGUACUUUGGAUGAGUACUCACGGUUGCUUUGCUCCCCCUUUUCCCCCUUUCUUUUUCUUUCCGGUUGAUGCAAUCAGAUGUCGGAGCCCAGGAGCCAGAUGCCACCGUCGGUGCCUACUACUACGUGGAGACCGCUGAUGACCAGGAGUAGUUAGGAGGCUCCCAGGCAGGAGGCCUUGCCUUUUCGAUCGUAGAUGCUUUUGUGCUAGCCUUCUUAAGGCAAAUUUGUCUAACUUAUGUCUGUAUUCAGAUAUUGUUGCUUCCGCUGACUCUUUUGUAUUCAAGCUGAUGUAUUCGAGCCCUCGAAGCCCCUGGCUUGUAAUAUAAAGCUUGUAUUAUUUUAAUUUGUGUCUAGAGUUGUGUUGUGAUAUCUUCCCGUGAGUCCCUGAUCUUGAUCGUACACAUUUGUGUGUAUGAUUAGUGUACGAUUGAAUCAGGAUCGUCACACUAAGGGAACUGUGCGUAUGUGGAUUGUGCCUACACGGUACUAUAGAAAAAAAUCAUGCAUGAUCAGUAUAGAAACAACAACAAAAAGAUGAAGAUGGCACAAAAUAAUUUGAUCUUGAAUGUUCAUGAUAUGCAUUAUGUGACCCAGAACCAUAUAGCAGAAAAAUAGAGGUGUACUAAUGUCAACCCAGGUUAACUGAUGUAGUAGUAGCACACAAAAUAUAUAGCUGCACAAAAUCGCAAGAGCUGUAGACCAAACAACAAAACCAAUGGGCAUAGUGCUGAUAGUACAUGACUCCAGGGAAGUCAAUGAUGCUAGUUUCAGACAUCUUAUAUUCAUUUAUGAAUGUUUGAUUAAUUUCACCAUAAAGCCAGUAGUGCUAACCAUAAAUAAAUGUAAGCCAACUAUACUGAAAUGUGUGAUAAACACUCUAGAAGGACAUGCUGGCUCUGAACUUGCCAUGCCAAAUAUGUAUUAAAUGUCGGUGAAUGUUAAACUGUGCUCAAAAAACAGUACGAGAGCUGCUUAUACUUUUCUCAAUACUUGAUAAACAUAGAGGCGCUGAUUUAUUAUAAUAUCCUAAAGCUGGGGAUUGUCACCAUGUGCAAAGAACAACACAGAACCUUGUAUUAGGGUAAUUGCGAUGUAAAUUGAUUUUGUGUAACUGCGAUGAUAAUUCGAGCGACAAAUGCAAUAUACAAAGAUUCAUUUAGGCAUUUUGGGAAACAUGUGCCAUACACUUGAUUGCAGCAACAUACCUUGGCACUCAAUGGUUCUCAUCGAAGCCAUUAUCCCAUCUAAUCGAGCUCACCAAGAGAGCCUUGAAGUGCUGAUAAUCUCAAACUUGCUCCUCUCAACUUCAGUAAAAGACUUUAAAGUUAUGCAUGCAAUUUCCUAUCAAGUGGUAUUCCCAAUAGAGAAGGCAUCAUACACAACUAUUUAAAAAAGUGAAGGUUACAACAACUUUUAUUUAAACAAAACAUGUUUCAUUCAGCAUCAAGACAUAUCAAGACAUCCGACAUACCCGUGCGUUGCAAUGGAAGAAAUAAUUCCUUGCAUGCCCGUCCGGUCGGUGCUGCCACUUCUUCUCUUCGCCACUGUCACCAAGGAUGGUCAUGUUGUCCACCUGUUCAUGACAAACAUGAUUUGGAACUGGCUAAUAACAUGAUAAAACAUGAAAUCAUACAAAAGCAGUACAGAUUGAAUUUGACAUAAUAAGAUUCAGAUGGUUGCAACUUGAACCCUUGGAGGAAAACAUGGAUGGUCUCCAAUCCAAAAAAGUUCAACAACUUUGUAAACAUUAACAUUGGAGAAUAUCAUGAAAAGCAUGUGCAUGGCGCACAAUGGGAUACGUGAGAAUAAUGGUGCGCAGAAUCUAUUUUGUGCAUAAAUGAGUAAAUAAAUACAUGUUAUAAUUGCUAGAUGAUGAUGUUGUUCAUACCUGAUAGUAUCCCAUGCAUCGCUACUCAUGUGUCCAUCCAUUCUUAAUCAUACAGAAAGAUACAGAAUCUUGGUAGUUCCUACAAUACACAAAGGAUAUAAAAUGGUUCCUUACAGUAAAGAAAGCAAAAGAAAAAUGCAUUUUGGAAAUAAUGUGUGUAGGUACUGUUUCGUACAGAUGGUGCUUAUUAAGUCUUCUGCUUACCCGACAUAUAAGAUCUAUGCUCUUACCAUUAUUAAAAAAAAGGAUAAUACAUAUGCUCUUAGAACUGCUAUAUAUCACCUGGUUCUCUUUCAGCUUACCCCAAGAACAGAGUUAGAACUUUGUAUCUCUAAUUCCUCUACUUCAAAAGCAUUUUAGGUACUUGCAAAACCUACAAGCACUUAUAUAUCAACACUUUUAGUAGUAGAAAAUUGGGUCUUCAAAUAAUAGUAUGUGUAAUCGACUCAUCUCAUGUUGACUACAUCUACAUGGACUAAUCAAAUACUGAUAACCUGUGAAAGACAAUAAGCACCAUAGCAAGAGAUGCAUAUUCAGUUAGGAAUUAACUAUAAAGAAAAGAAAAAAAGAUACAAAUCACGCACCCACAUGAAUCACGCCUAGUAAACAUAAACAUAUCAGCUACACACAUAAAUCAAGCACACAUCAGACACAGCACUGCAGUACCAGUUCGAUACGAAGAUGGGCGACGGCAUCCUCGAAGUAUGGAGACGGGCGAUGACCUCCCUGCACAAGAGGACACGUAGACAGGUCGACCUAUCGUCGAUGUGGUCGACACAGCCGUGAAGAGAAGACGCAGACUCCGUCGGAGCUCGCCAUCUUGCUCGGAACAUGCGAGGAACGCCGCCGCCAUGAACUUGGAGUUCAAGCCCCGCCGCUGGACCUCCUCCCGCGCCUCCUAGAUCGUCUUCAC